UACUGCCCCAUAGUCUGGGAUACCACUUGGAACAGGUGCUAAUACCGGAUAAGAAAGCAGAUCGCAUGAUCAGCUUUUAAAAGGCGGCGUAAGCUGUCGCUAUGGGAUGGCCCCGCGGCGCAUUAGCUAGUUGGUAAGGUAAAGGCUUACCAAGGCGAUGAUGCAUAGCCGAGUUGAGAGACUGAUCGGCCACAUUGGGACUGAGACACGGCCCAA
RNAcentral lists this ribosomal RNA (216 nucleotides) under uncultured bacterium. RNAcentral describes it as "partial 16S ribosomal RNA". It matches the Rfam family "Bacterial small subunit ribosomal RNA", at positions 124 to 334 of the family's 1533-position model. The record is from RNAcentral.